GGGGGUAUAGCUCAGUUGGCUAGAGCACCUGCUUUGCAAGCAGGGGGUCGUCGGUUCGAUUCCGUCUACCUCCA
This 74-nucleotide transfer RNA is filed under the name Candidatus Cryptobacteroides excrementavium. RNAcentral describes it as "tRNA-Ala". It matches the Rfam family "tRNA". From Rfam's summary of the family: Transfer RNA (tRNA) molecules are approximately 80 nucleotides in length. Lineage: Bacteria; Pseudomonadati; Bacteroidota; Bacteroidia; Bacteroidales. The record is from RNAcentral.